AACGAACGCUGGCGGCAUGCCUAACACAUGCAAGUCGAACGAGACCUUCGGGUCUAGUGGCGCACGGGUGCGUAACGCGUGGGAACCUGCCCUUAGGUUCGGAAUAACUCCCCGAAAGGGGUGCUAAUACCGGAUAAUGUCUUCGGCCCAAAGAUUUAUCGCCUUUGGAUGGGCGCGCGUUGGAUUAGCUAGUUGGUUGGGUAAAAGCCUACAAAGGCGACAAUUCAUAGCUGGUCUGAGAGGAUGAUCAGCCACACUGGGAGUGAGACACGGCCCAGACUCCUACGGGAGGGAGCAGUGGGGAAUAUAGGACAAUGGGCGAAGGCAUGAACCAGCAAUGCCGCGAGAGUGAUGAAGGCCUUAGGGUAGUAAAGCUCUUUUACCCGGGAUGAUAAUGACAGUACCGGGAGAAUAAGCUCCGGCUAACUCCGUG
RNAcentral lists this ribosomal RNA (433 nucleotides) under uncultured bacterium. Its description in RNAcentral is "partial 16S ribosomal RNA". It matches the Rfam family "Bacterial small subunit ribosomal RNA", at positions 29 to 507 of the family's 1533-position model. The record is from RNAcentral.